Molecule: ribosomal RNA, 478 nt
Filed under: uncultured bacterium
Lineage: Bacteria
Description: partial 16S ribosomal RNA
Rfam family: Bacterial small subunit ribosomal RNA
Source: RNAcentral
GACGAACGCUGGCGGCGUGCUUAACACAUGCAAGUCGAACGGUAAGGCCCUUCGGGGUACACGAGUGGCGAACGGGUGAGUAACACGUGGGUGAUCUGCCCUGCACUUCGGGAUAAGCCUGGGAAGCUGGGGCUAAUACCGGAUAGGACCACUGCCUGCAUGGGUGGGGGUGGAAAGCUUUUGCGGUGUGGGAUGGGCCCGCGGCCUAUCAGCUUGUUGGUGGGGUGAUGGCCUACCAAGGCGACGACGGGUAGCCGGCCUGAGAGGGUGACCGGCCACACUGGGACUGAGAUACGGCCCAGACUCCUACGGGAGGCAGCAGUGGGGAAUAUUGCACAAUGGGCGCAAGCCUGAUGCAGCGACGCCGCGUGAGGGAUGACGGCCUUCGGGUUGUAAACCUCUUUCAGCACCGACGAAGCGCAAGUGACGGUAGGUGCAGAAGAAGGACCGGCCAACUACGUGCCAGCAGCCGCCGUAA